CCUACGGGAGGCAGCAGUGGGGAAUCUUGCGCAAUGGGCGAAAGCCUGACGCAGCCAUGCCGCGUGUAUGAUGAAGGUCUUAGGAUUGUAAAAUACUUUCACCGGUGAAGAUAAUGACUGUAGCCGGAGAAGAAGCCCCGGCUAACUUCGUGCCAGCAGCCGCGGUAAUACGAAGGGGGCUAGCGUUGCUCGGAAUUACUGGGCGUAAAGGGAGCGUAGGCGGACAUUUAAGUCAGAGGUGAAAUCCCGGAGCUUAACUUCGGAACUGCCUUUGAUACUGGGUGUCUUGAGUGUGAGAGAGGUAUGUGGAACUCCGAGUGUAGAGGUGAAAUUCGUAGAUAUUCGGAAGAACACCAGUGGCGAAGGCGACAUACUGGCUCAUUACUGACGCUGAGGCUCGAAAGCGUGGGGAGCAAACAGGAUUAGAUACCCUGGUAGUCCACGCCGUAAACGAUGAUGNUAGUGUCGGUAGCUGUCUCUCGUGACGCNGCUACGCAUAGUACACNCGCCGUGGAGGUACGGUCGCGAGAUAACUACAAGAAGUAGAGCGNGAGACGUGCGACGCGACGACGAGGGAGAG
RNAcentral lists this ribosomal RNA (580 nucleotides) under uncultured bacterium. Its description in RNAcentral is "bacterial SSU rRNA". It matches the Rfam family "Bacterial small subunit ribosomal RNA", at positions 338 to 945 of the family's 1533-position model. The record is from RNAcentral.